UGGGACAAAUGAUUGGGGUGAAGUCGUAACAAGGUAGCCGUAUCGGAAGGUGCGGCUGGAUCACCUCCUUUCUAAGGA
This 78-nucleotide ribosomal RNA is filed under the name Staphylococcus aureus. Its description in RNAcentral is "partial 16S ribosomal RNA". It matches the Rfam family "Bacterial small subunit ribosomal RNA", at positions 1463 to 1533 of the family's 1533-position model. The record is from RNAcentral. Lineage: Bacteria; Bacillati; Bacillota; Bacilli; Caryophanales; Staphylococcaceae. RNAcentral also lists the same sequence under 1 other name.